RNAcentral lists this ribosomal RNA (552 nucleotides) under Coragyps atratus (black vulture). RNAcentral describes it as "partial 12S ribosomal RNA". It matches the Rfam family "Bacterial small subunit ribosomal RNA", at positions 9 to 919 of the family's 1533-position model. Lineage: Eukaryota; Metazoa; Chordata; Aves; Accipitriformes; Cathartidae. The record is from RNAcentral.
AAAAGACUUAGUCCUAACCUUACCGUUAACUCUUGCUAAACAUAUACAUGCAAGUAUCCGCGCUCCAGUGUAAAUGCCCCGAAUCUCUUACUAAGACAAAAGGAGCGGGUAUCAGGCACACCCAUGACUAGUAGCCCAAGACACCUUGCUCAGCCACACCCCCACGGGUCCUCAGCAGUAAUUAACAUUAAGCAAUAAGUGUAAACUUGACUUAGUUAUAGCAACAUCCAGGGUUGGUAAAUCUUGUGCCAGCCACCGCGGUCAUACAAGAGACCCAAGUUAACUGCACACGGCGUAAAGAGUGGUAUUAAUUCUAUCAUAACAACUAAGAUCAAAGUGCAACUAAGCUGUCAUAAGCCCAAGAUGUACCUAAGACCACCCUUAAGAUGAUCUUAGCGCCUCACGAUUAAUUAAACCCCACGAAAGCUCGGACACAAACUGGGAUUAGAUACCCCACUAUGCCUAGCCCUAAAUCUUGGUGCUUGACUCACCAAAGCAUCCGCCCGAGAACUACGAGCACAAACGCUUAAAACUCUAAGGACUUGGCGGUGC